RNAcentral lists this ribosomal RNA (1346 nucleotides) under uncultured bacterium. RNAcentral describes it as "partial 16S ribosomal RNA". It matches the Rfam family "Bacterial small subunit ribosomal RNA", at positions 28 to 1381 of the family's 1533-position model. The record is from RNAcentral.
GACGAACGCUGGCGGCGUGCUUAACACAUGCAAGUCGAACGGAAAGGCCCUGCUUUUGUGGGGUGCUCGAGUGGCGAACGGGUGAGUAACACGUGAGUAACCUGCCCUUGACUUUGGGAUAACUUCAGGAAACUGGGGCUAAUACCGGAUAGGAGCUCCUGCUGCAUGGUGGGGGUUGGAAAGUUUCGGCGGUUGGGGAUGGACUCGCGGCUUAUCAGCUUGUUGGUGGGGUAGUGGCUUACCAAGGCUUUGACGGGUAGCCGGCCUGAGAGGGUGACCGGCCACAUUGGGACUGAGAUACGGCCCAGACUCCUACGGGAGGCAGCAGUGGGGAAUAUUGCACAAUGGGCGGAAGCCUGAUGCAGCAACGCCGCGUGCGGGAUGACGGCCUUCGGGUUGUAAACCGCUUUCGCCCGUGACGAAGCGUGAGUGACGGUAAUGGGUAAAGAAGCACCGGCUAACUACGUGCCAGCAGCCGCGGUGAUACGUAGGGUGCGAGCGUUGUCCGGAUUUAUUGGGCGUAAAGGGCUCGUAGGUGGUUGAUCGCGUCGGAAGUGUAAUCUUGGGGCUUAACCCUGAGCGUGCUUUCGAUACGGGUUGACUUGAGGAAGGUGGGGGAGAAUGGAAUUCCUGGUGGAGCGGUGGAAUGCGCAGAUAUCAGGAGGAACACCAGUGGCGAAGGCGGUUCUCUGGGCCUUUCCUGACGCUGAGGAGCGAAAGCGUGGGGAGCGAACAGGCUUAGAUACCCUGGUAGUCCACGCUGUAAACGGUGGGUACUAGGUGUGGGGUCCAUUCCACGGGUUCCGUGCCGUAGCUAACGCUUUAAGUACCCCGCCUGGGGAGUACGGCCGCAAGGCUAAAACUCAAAGGAAUUGACGGGGCCCCGCACAAGCGGCGGAGCAUGCGGAUUAAUUCGAUGCAACGCGUAGAACCUUACCUGGGUUUGACAUGGAUCGGGAGUGCUCAGAGAUGGGUGUGCCUCUUUUGGGGUCGGUUCACAGGUGGUGCAUGCCUGUCGUCAGCUCGUGUCGUGAGAUGUUGGGUUAAGUCCCGCAACGAGCGCAACCCUUGUUCACUGUUGCCAGCACGUUAUGGUGGGGACUCAGUGGAGACCGCCGGGGUCAACUCGGAGGAAGGUGGGGAUGACGUCAAGUCAUCAUGCCCCUUAUGUCCAGGGCUUCACGCAUGCUACAAUGGCUGGUACAGAGAGUGGCGAGCCUGUGAGGGUGAGCGAAUCUCGGAAAGCCGGUCUCAGUUCGGAUUGGGGUCUGCAACUCGACCUCAUGAAGUCGGAGUCGCUAGUAAUCGCAGAUCAGCAACGCUGCGGUGAAUACGUUCCCGGGGCU